Molecule: ribosomal RNA, 733 nt
Filed under: Photobacterium ganghwense
Lineage: Bacteria; Pseudomonadati; Pseudomonadota; Gammaproteobacteria; Vibrionales; Vibrionaceae
Description: bacterial SSU rRNA
Rfam family: Bacterial small subunit ribosomal RNA
Source: RNAcentral
UCGAGCGGCAGCGACAACAUUGACCCUUCGGGGGAUUUGUUGGGCGGCGAGCGGCGGACGGGUGAGUAAUGCCUGGGAACAUGCCUUAGUGUGGGGGAUAACCAUUGGAAACGAUGGCUAAUACCGCAUAAUCUCUACGGAGCAAAGAGGGGGACCUUCGGGCCUCUCGCGCUAAGAUUGGCCCAGGUGGGAUUAGCUAGUAGGUGGGGUAACGGCUCACCUAGGCGACGAUCCCUAGCUGGUCUGAGAGGAUGAUCAGCCACACUGGAACUGAGACACGGUCCAGACUCCUACGGGAGGCAGCAGUGGGGAAUAUUGCACAAUGGGGGAAACCCUGAUGCAGCCAUGCCGCGUGUGUGAAGAAGGCCUUCGGGUUGUAAAGCACUUUCAGCAGUGAGGAAGGCGGUAUCGUUAAUAGCGGUAUUGUUUGACGUUAGCUGCAGAAGAAGCACCGGCUAACUCCGUGCCAGCAGCCGCGGUAAUACGGAGGGUGCGAGCGUUAAUCGGAAUUACUGGGCGUAAAGCGCAUGCAGGCGGCUUGUUAAGCCAGAUGUGAAAGCCCGGGGCUCAACCUCGGAAUCGCAUUUGGAACUGGCAGGCUAGAGUCUUGUAGAGGGGGGUAGAAUUUCAGGUGUAGCGGUGAAAUGCGUAGAGAUCUGAAGGAAUACCGGUGGCGAAGGCGGCCCCCUGGACAAAGACUGACGCUCAGAUGCGAAAGCGUGGGGGAGCAAAC